This 757-nucleotide long non-coding RNA is filed under the name Nicotiana benthamiana. RNAcentral's name for it is "long non-coding RNA (NBEN_LNC017741)". The record is from RNAcentral. Lineage: Eukaryota; Viridiplantae; Streptophyta; Magnoliopsida; Solanales; Solanaceae.
CCAGUUGGACUGUCAUGUCAGCUUCAAUGGCAAAACUAACGGUUUAGGAACAUUUUCGGGCCAAAAUAUAGAGAGAAGGGAUAUUUUUGGCAUAAAAAACGGAGGAUAUUUUUGAGCUAUUCCGAAUAAUUUAAGGAUUUUUUUUCCUGAUUUAAAACGGAUUCAUUGUGGCCUAUUAUGGUGAUUGGCUUUCAAAUUUCCUAUUUUAAUAAUAUAUUUGUGGUUAUGCAGUAUCUCAAGGGGAAUAAUACACGGAACUUAGGCAUUGCUAAAAGUUAUGUUCAGACUUGAGCCUUUCUUGACACGUUACUGGAUUUUCAACAUUUCCGUAAACUUGUAAGAGAAAAAUGAUUAUGUUUGUACUUCAUCAAAAUGACUCACAUCCAUGUUGCGAAGCUAGCGAAAUGACUCACAAAUUUUCUAUUUCAGAAUAAAUGUUGAUUUUAUAUUUUAUAAAAAAAAAUUGGAAAAUAAAAUUUCCUAAAAAAAUAAUUUUCACAUAUGGAUUGCUUAGGUGGACGACCAUGUAAGCAAUUCUAACCCAGUUGGACUGUCAUGUCAGCUUCAAUGGCAAAACUAACGGUUUAGGAACAUUUUCGGGCCAAAAUAUCUAACCCAGUUGGACUGUCAUGUUAAUUUUCACAUAUGGAUUGCUUAGGUGGACGACCAUGUAAGCAAUUCUAACCCAGUUGGACUGUCAUGUUAGCUUUAUUGGCAAAACUAACAGUUUAGGAACAUUUUUGGGCCAAAAUAUAGA